RNAcentral lists this long non-coding RNA (339 nucleotides) under Setaria viridis. RNAcentral describes it as "long non-coding RNA (SVIR_LNC000520)". The record is from RNAcentral. Lineage: Eukaryota; Viridiplantae; Streptophyta; Magnoliopsida; Poales; Poaceae.
UGACCUGAAUUUUCUAUACCUGGGGGACUUGGAGUUGCAUCAUUGCACACCUCUACCUCUCGGACUGCAGGUUUGCGUGCUGGCAUGCGUGCGCACGACGCUAUUGCAUUCAGGAUCCGUCAGGUAAAAGCAUGCACGGAUCAUGAAGCCAGGGUAGCCAUAUGUGCUCAACUCGGCAGCAGUGACCAUGACCGCAACCACAACAGAACGGGCAACGCCGACGCGCUGAGGACAACUCUGAUGACGCAGACCCCACACGGAGCUAGUCAGGGGCGAAACCCCAAUUAGUUUGCUUCAUCAACAAUUGUCCACCGACCACGACGAUCAAGAUGAUGCUGG